This 253-nucleotide ribosomal RNA is filed under the name uncultured bacterium. RNAcentral describes it as "partial 16S ribosomal RNA". It matches the Rfam family "Bacterial small subunit ribosomal RNA", at positions 524 to 776 of the family's 1533-position model. The record is from RNAcentral.
UACGUAGGGCGCAAGCGUUGUCCGGAAUUAUUGGGCGUAAAGAGCUCGUAGGCGGUCUGUCGCGUCGGCUGUGAAAACCCGGGGCUCAACCCCGGGCCUGCAGUCGAUACGGGCAGACUAGAGUGCGGUAGGGGAGACUGGAAUUCCUGGUGUAGCGGUGAAAUGCGCAGAUAUCAGGAGGAACACCGGUGGCGAAGGCGGCCCCCUGGGCAGUAACUGACACUGAGGCGCGACAGCGUGGGGAGCAAACAGG